AUGUAGGGCGGGGAGCUCAGUACCAUAUAUCAGCACGGGGGAGGAGGCUAAACUGGACUCGUGGGUCCGGAGCAUCUGACGUGGAACUGAAAAAUAAAGAAUGGGAUGCCAGGGCGGGAAGCUGGCCCAUCCCUCAGUUUCCUCAUCCAGAGAAGGGAUGCGUGAUCCCAGGAGGAGGCCUCCGAUGAUGUCAAGUGGGUGGAGGAAAUUACGAAACAAGGUACUUUGAGCCUCCCAGCGGGAAAUUGGGGUAAAUUCCUGAUAUCCGGUACUGCGUGCUUUUCUUGGUAGAGGCAUAAUUGAGGCAAGGUGGCAAAUGGUGCAAAACAGGCCCUCCUGGGGGACCUAGCAGGCUGCUAGUGACUGGAUGAUGGGGGGUGGUCUCCAGCCAGCCCCCACUUCCUGGGCCCCCUCUGAGCCUCAGUUUCUCCUUCUAGGAGGAGCAGGCUGGAUGUGACGGCUGCAGACACCUGCUGGCUUUCAGGAGAUUCCUCUCUGCUCCACCACAGGUGAGGAUGGGGGACACAGAAAAAAGGCCCCUUGUCAUUUUCUUGCCAGGAGAGAAAGGAAGGUGAGUCGUCCACAAGCUUGGCCCCAAGUGGAGCUUAAGGAGUCGCAGCUGGGAGGCCAUAUGGGGAAGUGCGUGGGUGGCUCGGCCUUUCCUGCCUCUCACUCUCGGUCGGGCCAAGUUCAGGAGAGUCCUCCUUUUCCCCCUGCCAGAGUAUCGGCUCACCACCCCCUCCUUUCUGCCUGCCCCUUCCCUCCCUCCAGACAGCAGGCAGCCCAGCUCCGUGGCAGGGCAGCAAGCCUCACUGUGGGAAGGGGACCGCCUCGGGUCUCCCCAGUGUCUGGGGGGUCUGCUGCUAAUUGGAUUGUAAAAGAUGAUCCCUCUGCACAGCUGUCUGCAAGCCAGGCCCCAGUGACACAGGGUAAAUUAAAUACAGACAAUGGGGCGGGGUUACCUGCUGAAGCUCUGUGCCAGGCUCAGACCCCAGAAGUCAGAGAGGACGGUGGCACUGAGAUGGGAGAGGAGCUGAGGCAAGGAGGAACCUCACCAAGUGCCCCAUCGGGCGCUGAGAUGGCCCCUCCCCUGCAGGCCUGCUCACAGCCCCUGGCCCUGGGCAUCUGGAAAUCAAAGCGUCCUGACCCUCUUUACCACAAUGCUCCCUGGGGCUGCUGAGCAGCUGAGCUGAGGAUGCCCUGGGCCUGCCAUCCCAUGAGGGCCCCCCCUUGCAGAGUGGAGCCCAUGGCCGGGUCCUGCUGCCCACCAUGGACUCUCACUCAGUCAUUCAAGCAUCACUUAUCCACUCAGAAUAUCCAGCAGUCUGUCUCUAAGCUGAGCACUAGGAAUAAAGAGAUGGUGUGGACAAGGCGGCAGCUCUCCUCCCACGUUUGCCACCCCAUCCACCCCGCCCCCCCGGCCAGAGUAAUAGAACUGAUUUCAGCUGGCACAUGUUCACCCACAAUGAAAGCUACAUCUUCCAGCCUCCCUUGCAGCUAGACAUGGCCAUGUGAUUACACUCUGGCCAAUCAGAUGAAGCAGAGUGUGGCGGCCCUUCCUUCAAACAACAACACAGUUGAUCCUGGCUUUCUGCCCUUCCCUCUCAGAGAUCUUCUUUCCUGCUGACUGGGAUGGAGAUGUAAGGGCCGGUGCUGAAGUGGCCACCGUGAGCAAGGUGGCUCUGGACAAAGAGGACCUAUGUGGACACUCAGAUAGAACAGAAGCUAGCCUCCAUUUCAAGCCUCGCUGUUUCCCCAUCACACGUUCUGGUUAUCGCCGGACAAGUUCCUCACUUGUAAGACCAGCAAAGACAGUUACUCAACCCAAGAUGCUUAAGGAAGCCCCCCAGGAUCAACGUGGUCACCCCAUCCUGCUGCCCUGAGGGUCGUCCAGUUCGGCAGACACUGGCCCAGUGCCUCCUGCUCCUGGCACUGGGAAUGCCAAGAGGCUUCAAGGUGACCACUGCCCUCGCAGCCAUCCUUGGUCAGAGGGUGUCCAGCCACGUCCGACAGCAGGCUCAGCCCGACGAUGGGCGUGGUGUGCAGGACGGUCCACGGGCCUCCACCCGGGAACUCCGUGGUAAAGAUGUGACUCAGGAAACAGGAGUGAGCGGCCACGCUCAGGCCACCUCCGAUGCCUUCUUCUCCGUGGAUCAUUGAAUUACAUGCAUAUUUCAGUGAAGAUGAUUAUCUCCUUGCUGGUUUCGGAAGAUGUAUUUAGGGGAGGUAUUUCAAUUCUGUUGUCAUUUAAAACUAAAAAUCAAAACAUCAUUUUUGAUGUCCAGGGUUCUUUCUUCCGCCGAAAUACACACUGUGGUGUGUUACAAUCAUGUCUCCACCAUUUGCGCCUUAGAUGUACUUGUAG
This is a long non-coding RNA of Bos taurus (domestic cattle), 2365 nucleotides long. The record is from Ensembl. Lineage: Eukaryota; Metazoa; Chordata; Mammalia; Artiodactyla; Bovidae.